RNAcentral lists this long non-coding RNA (1571 nucleotides) under Salvia miltiorrhiza (redroot sage). Its description in RNAcentral is "long non-coding RNA (SMIL_LNC007861)". Lineage: Eukaryota; Viridiplantae; Streptophyta; Magnoliopsida; Lamiales; Lamiaceae. The record is from RNAcentral.
UGUUUUUUUUUUUUAUAUUUUGAAAGCAUCCCAACCCACGAAAGGAAAACCCUUCUAGAAACGUCUUCUACCUCCAUAUGCAAAUCUAGAUUUGGAGAUUAAGCUUCCCUGCAAUUCUCUCUCUCUCUCUCUCUCUCUCUCUCUCUCCAUAUGUAAAUUCAGAUUUGAAGAGUAAGCUUCCCUAAUCUCACAUACACGAAAAUCAAAGAAAACUCUCUAGAAACCGUACCAGUAGUUUUUCAUGCCUACUUAAAUUAUCCCAUCGACAUCGGUAAUCAACCACAAAAUCGUCAUCAUUGUGCUAGCACCCGUCGCCCUGCAUAGUCAUCUUUGCAUCUACGGUUCUUCCAGAACCCCCAAACGAGCAGUUCUAUUGGGUAAGAAUUCGAUUAUUUCCAUCUACCAUUGAAGGUAUCAAACCUAAAUUUCUCAUUUUUAUUCAAUUCACUAACAUUAUCUUGAAAUUACAGUAAAUUUGUCUCUUUUUUGGGUGUUGGAGUGGCCGUCUAUUUAGUCUCUUUAAUCUAAUGGCUAUGCAUAUUGAAUUAGAUUGGAUGGAAAAAUAAGAAGUAUCUGAUAUAUGUGUUGUUGGUUGCAAGAAAGGUAGUAUAUUUAUUCCUUUUAGAGCAUUUUUUUGUCGUCUAUUGCAUAUUGGAUUGAGAUUUGGAGCUUUUCUUAUGCUAAAAGAACUAUUAAGUUAUGGUCAUUUAUACUUGUUUUGGUGUAUGCAUAUAGAAAAUUAUAAAGGGUUUGACAAGAAGUUAACUUUGUUUAUGAUCAUCUAUAGUUGUUUUACCAUAAUUUCCAAGGGCAAACACAAUGAGAUGUGAAACACAGAGAGGCGGGCAAUGAAUAUAGAGAAGCACUAACAAACUAUGGCUGAACAAGGUUUGGCUUUUACAUAUAUUUCUUUAUUCUUUAGUUAUUUGUCUAUUGUUGGAUAUUGGCUGCAUUCUUUUUUGAAUUUUUGUUUGAUGAUUUUUGGCGUUGUGUCUGUGUUGGCUCUGUCGAGCAGCAAGCUACUGAGAGCUUGAAACCAUACAAUAGGUGAUCUAUAAUUUUAUAUAAUAGUAAAGAAAUCUAUUUAUUUUGAUAAUGCUUGUAGAUGUCCUAGCUUUUGCAUUCUUCUUGAGUAAGCGGACAACCUAAGGACUGCCACCCAGCUGCUCGACCAAAAGGACAGGCACGACGACUCAACGACCAAAACUCGCUGGCCAAAAACAUCUCGACACCAACAAGAUAAGCGCGAGCUAUCUUUUAUCGCGGAGCUACCAGCAGGACCCGACCACACCAACCCCAGUUCUGAGUGCACCCAAAAACUGUAAAAGAGGCGGUGUGACACACUAAAAACGCACCAAUCCGCCAAAUACCCAACAAGCAAACCAUCGAGCCGGAAAAACAGCAACAAUUCCCCAGCAUAAACCAAACCGAAACUGAUCAAAAUCGCAGCAAUGAACAUAGAGCAAACAAAACCAAAGAAGCACCGAUUAAACAAUACGUACAUGCAUUAGAAAAUAAAAAGCUAUCAUAUUUAGAAACCAAAAAUAAUUUUGAACUAAUUUAAUCUUGUA